UCGCCUGUUUUAUCAAAAACAUUGUCUCCUGCCCGGUGAAGUCCUUAAACGGCCGCGGUAGCCUGACCGUGCUAAGGUAGCGCAAUCAUUUGCCCUUUAAUUGGGGGCUAGUAUGAAUGGACAAACGAGGGCCUCGCUGUCUCCUCUUUUGUUCUUAAAACUAGGUUGCAAGUGAAAACACUUGUGUAGGCGCAGAGGACAAAAAGACCCCGUAGAGCUUUAGUGCCGCGUGUUAUGUAAUAUGUUGUGCUUAAACACUUUGGUUGGGGCGACAGAGGCCCACCUAAAGCGGCCAAUCUUAUCGGGAUAAUUUUGACUUCAUGUCAGCAACAACUGAUCCGCUGGGCGAUCAGAGGAAAAGUUACCUCGGGGAUAACAGACUAAUCCAUCCAAAGAGUACACAUUGAUGGAUGGGUUUGGCACCUCGAUGUUGGCUCAGGGCCCUCCCAGGUAGCAGGAGCUUGGGGAGGAAGGUCUGUUCGCCCUUUUAAACCCUACGUGAUCUGAGUUCCAGACCGGA
Molecule: ribosomal RNA, 520 nt
Filed under: Notomastus sp. SIO_BIC A3421
Lineage: Eukaryota; Metazoa; Annelida; Polychaeta; Capitellidae
Description: partial 16S ribosomal RNA
Rfam family: Bacterial large subunit ribosomal RNA
Source: RNAcentral